Molecule: ribosomal RNA, 749 nt
Filed under: uncultured eukaryote
Lineage: Eukaryota
Description: eukaryotic LSU rRNA
Rfam family: 5.8S ribosomal RNA (bases 298-451)
Source: RNAcentral
AAAGUCGUAACAAGGUUUCCGUAGGUGAACCUGCGGAAGGAUCAUUACCGUUACUCUGUGUCUUGCACACACUGUAAACCACUGUGAACUGUUUCGAGCUUGUGGGGUGGUUCUCGUUUGCACUAAAAUGCGCACUCGAGAGCCUCAAAUGCAGUUAGACAGCUGAGGCUGGCUGCUGCGGCCCCACAUGUCUAUCUAUUAUGUUUUUUUCAAAACACUAUCAUUCCAGUUGAAUAUCACUCUGUUGGUCAGUCGGUUCAGCUGACUGGCUCAGUUUGAUAAGUUGAAACACAUGACAACUUCUAACGGUGGAUCUCUUGGCUCGUGCAUCGAUGAAGAACGUAGCCAGUUGCGAUAAGUAGUGUGAAUUGCAGAAUUCAGUGAAUCAUCGAAUCUUUGAACGCAAAUUGCGCUCUCUGGAUAUCCAGGGAGCAUGCCUGUCUGAGUGUCGUGAUAAAAACUACACACCCCUGGUGUGGCAUGUGGGUAUCGAGUUUGCAGUUCGCUCCGGCGCUCUGUACUAAACUCGUCCUGCGAAGUGCGUGAACCUGAAUGUGCUGCUGAUUGCAUGUGCAUUGGGAAGGCUCAACUUGCUUCUGUCUUUCCCUCUGCGUUCUCAUGCCAGCAGUGUCAUUGUAGAUGGUGAACAAGACACUGCUGUCCCUGUACCUGGGACAUGCUGGCUGUCAAUUUCUUGAUUUUGACCUCAGAUCAGACAAGACUACCCGCUGAAAUUAAGCAUAUCAAUA